RNAcentral lists this transfer-messenger RNA (405 nucleotides) under Candidatus Omnitrophota bacterium. It matches the Rfam family "transfer-messenger RNA". Rfam says of the family: Bacterial tmRNA, also known as 10Sa RNA or SsrA, is named for its dual tRNA and mRNA-like properties. Its role is to liberate the mRNA from a stalled ribosome. Lineage: Bacteria; Pseudomonadati; Candidatus Omnitrophota. The record is from RNAcentral.
GGGGGUGAAUAGGUUCGACUUAUGUAGUCGGAUAAAAGCAGCAUGCCGCGGAUGCAAGGAAGGCCGCGUCAACAAUCCUUGCAAAAACUAAACGCAAACAGACUAACGUCUGGUUCGGUAAAUCGUCUGAGCCCAGCAAUGGUCCCAGCCGGCGUACCGGCGUACGCAGUCCUCCCUCACUAACAGGGAGGCCUCAAACCGUUUUUGCCUAAGGGGCGGAUUUGAGACUAAUUAGGCUGGUUCCGGUGUAUGCCUUUUGUGCCGGAAUGAGAUUUUCAAAGGCUGCGCCUUUAAAAAUUAUGUUUGCCUAAGUUUUAAGGGUUAAGAUUAAAGGACAAACUAAGCAUGUAGCGGCUUUUAUUGGAGUGCGUAAGGACGGCGGUGCGAUUCCGCCCACCUCCACCA